ACGCUCAUCAGACACCACAAAAGGUGUUAGUUCAUCUAGACAGCAGGACGGUGGCCAUGGAAGUCGGAAUCCGCUAAGGAGUGUGUAACAACUCACCUGCCGAAUGAACUAGCCCUGAAAAUGGAUGGCGCUUAAGCGUAUUACCCAUACUCCGCCGCCAGGGUAGAAACGAUGCCCUGGCGAGUAGGCAGGCGUGGGGGUCAGUGACGAAGCCUUGGGAGUGAUCCCGGGUCGAACGGCCCCUAGUGCAGAUCUUGGUGGUAGUAGCAAAUACUCAAAUGAGAACUUUGAGGACUGAAGUGGGGAAAGGUUCCAUGUGAACAGCAGUUGGACAUGGGUUAGUCGAUCCUAAGAGAUAGGGAAACUCCGUUUUAAUGUGCGCACUUGUGCGCCGUCCCUCGAAAGGGAAGCCGGUUAAUAUUCCGGCACCUGGAUUUGGAUUCUCCACGGCAACGUAACUGAACGCGGAGACGACGGCGGGGGCCCUGGGAAGAGUUCUCUUUUCUUCUUAACAGCCUAUCACCCUGAAAUCGGUUUGUCCGGAGCUAGGGUCUGACGGUUGGUAGAGC
This 569-nucleotide non-coding RNA is filed under the name Pseudogymnoascus sp. VKM F-4520 (FW-2644). RNAcentral's name for it is "Eukaryotic large subunit ribosomal RNA". It matches the Rfam family "Eukaryotic large subunit ribosomal RNA", at positions 1197 to 1764 of the family's 3401-position model. Lineage: Eukaryota; Fungi; Ascomycota; Leotiomycetes; Thelebolales; Thelebolaceae. The record is from Rfam by way of RNAcentral.